Molecule: ribosomal RNA, 507 nt
Filed under: uncultured bacterium
Lineage: Bacteria
Description: bacterial SSU rRNA
Rfam family: Bacterial small subunit ribosomal RNA
Source: RNAcentral
GUACGGCCGACAAGGUUAAAACUCAAGGAAUUGACGGGGACCCGCACAAGCGGUGGAUGAUGUUCUUUAAUUCGAUGCAACGCGAAAAACCUUACCCACCUUUGACAUGUAUGGAAUCCUUUAGAGAUGAAGGAGUGCUCGAAAGAGAGCCAUAACACAGGUGCUGCAUGGCUGUCGUCAGCUCGUGUCGUGAGAUGUUGGGUUAAGUCCCGCAACGAGCGCAACCCUUGCCAUUAGUUGCUACGAAAGGGCACUCUAAUGGGACUGCCGGUGACAAACCGGAGGAAGGUGGGGAUGACGUCAAGUCCUCAUGGCCCUUAUAGGUGGGGCUAGAAACGUCAUACAAUGGCCGGUACAAAGGGUAGCCAAGCCGCGAGGUGGAGCCAAUCCCAUAAAGCCGGUCGUAGUCCGGAUCGCAGUCUGCAACUCGACUGCGUGAAGUCGGAAUCGCUAGUAAUCGUGGAUCAGCAUGCCACGGUGAAUACGUUCCCGGGUCUUGUACACACC